This 1272-nucleotide long non-coding RNA is filed under the name Canis lupus familiaris (dog). Its description in RNAcentral is "lncRNA (ENSCAFG00030015041.1)". The record is from RNAcentral. Lineage: Eukaryota; Metazoa; Chordata; Mammalia; Carnivora; Canidae.
AUGCAAAACCGCAGAGUGCAGGUCAGGAGGGGCCUGCAGGAGAGAAGGGAGAGACGUGAGGGGGGUCUCCUGAGAGGAAGCCGAGGGGUUCGGGGCGGGGGGCAGCCGGCGGGGAGCACGCGUUCCCUGCCGUGCACCAGUGAACCUGCCGGUCAACUCGCCACCCGGGAUUUGUCUACUUGCUCGUUUGACAAACACGUAUUAAGCCUCUACUGUGUUCCAGAUUUUGUGCCGGGCACUGGGAUCACAGGUGUGAGCAAGAGAGUGCACAUGUUCCCCCCUCUCACCAGAGUUCACAGGAUGUUGGAAACGGGAUUAUAUCUGAAAAUGCAAACGUACCACGCGUAUUCCUGGAUGUCUUCUCUGCUGUGCAGUGAGCUUCCCUGUUCCAAGCUUAUCCUACUCGUAACCUUGCAGUGUCUGCGGCACAAAGUGGGUGAGCAGGAAGCUGCGCAGUUGGAGCAAACACCGGGAGCCGGGGCCACACAGCCGGGCCCCCCAACCCUGGCCUCAUCCCUGAGGCAACGAGCCCCCAGCCAGAGAGGCGGGGCCACGCUGCAGGUGCUGUGCAGACACUGGAGUAGCCACGAAGGAGGUGCUGCCUGCCGGGCUGCUGGCUGCUGCCCUGACCCUGCCUGCCUUCCCGAGCCUCGGGCCCAGAUCCCGUGGCCGGCUGGUUCACUUGGGGGGGAAGGGGCUGCACUCCUGGAAGCGCCCCACAUCCUGCGGCCCGUCGGGCUGGGUGAGAAUGAGGACUGCUCCACACGACCCGCUUCUCCCUUUUGGCAAAGCAGCUGCAGAUCUGCCCGAUGGGGGCACCCUCUGAGGGAGGCUGGCGCGCUUCUGGUGCCCUCCUGCGCCUGGGGCACAACAAAGCCUGACCCCCUCCGCCGCCCAGAUGAUGUCCUCCUUCGCCCGAGGCAGCAGCCCGUCUCUAGUGCUCCCCUUCCCCUCGGGCCUGGAGAAAGGAGCCUGUGGCUACCUGGAGACUGGUCUGUACCUGACCACGGCCCCUACUGGUUGGUGUUGCCCUGCAGGGCCUUGGGGUGGAGCAGGCCCUCUGCAGACCUAAAACCCUGUCCGAACCCUUUGGGGGGCACCGGGACGGUCCUCUCUGCCGGGUGCCAGUCUCAUUCAGGGCUUCUCCUGAGAUGCCUCUUACCACCCCUACCCUCUGCCUCAGGCUGUCCUCAGAGGCCCUCUGAAGGCCCCUUCAACGGGUCACCUGGGGGGGGUCAGCGCUUGAGCUUCUGCCUUUGGCUCAGGCCAUGA